This 424-nucleotide ribosomal RNA is filed under the name uncultured bacterium. RNAcentral's name for it is "bacterial SSU rRNA". It matches the Rfam family "Bacterial small subunit ribosomal RNA", at positions 355 to 796 of the family's 1533-position model. The record is from RNAcentral.
UGGGGAAUAUUGGACAAUGGGCGAAAGCCUGAUCCAGCAAUGCCGCGUGAGUGAUGAAGGCCUUAGGGUUGUAAAGCUCUUUUACCCGGGAAGAUAAUGACUGUACCGGGAGAAUAAGCCCCGGCUAACUCCGUGCCAGCAGCCGCGGUAAUACGGAGGGGGCUAGCGUUGUUCGGAAUUACUGGGCGUAAAGCGCACGUAGGCGGCUUUGUAAGUUAGAGGUGAAAGCCUGAUGCUCAACACCAGAAUUGCCUUUAAGACUGCAUCGCUUGAAUCGCGGAGAGGUGAGUGGAAUUCCGAGUGUAGAGGUGAAAUUCGUAGAUAUUCGGAAGAACACCAGUGGCGAAGGCGGCUCACUGGACGCGUAUUGACGCUGAGGUGCGAAAGCGUGGGGAGCAAACAGGAUUAGAUACCCCCGUAGUCC